This 329-nucleotide ribosomal RNA is filed under the name uncultured eukaryote. Its description in RNAcentral is "partial 18S ribosomal RNA". It matches the Rfam family "Eukaryotic small subunit ribosomal RNA", at positions 1470 to 1796 of the family's 1831-position model. The record is from RNAcentral.
CCCUUAGAUGUUCUGGGCCGCACGCGCGCUACACUGAUGCAUUCAACGAGUCUAAAACCUGGUCUGAUAGGGCUGGGUAAUCUUUUGAAUGUGCAUCGUGAUUGGGAUAGAUGAUUGCAAUUCUUCAUCUUCAACGAGUAAUGCCUAGUAAACGCAAGUCAUCAGCUUGCAUUGAUUACGUCCCUGCCCUUUGUACACACCGCCCGUCGCUCCUACCGAUUGAAUGAUCCGAUGAAUAUCAUGGAUUGAGGAUGCAAGUAGGUUCGCCUAUCUUCAUCUUCGAGAAGUGAAGUAAAUCUUAUCAUUUAGAGGAAGGAGAAGUCGUAACA